UGGGGAAUAUUGGACAAUGGGCGAAAGCCUGAUCCAGCAAUGCCGCGUGAAUGAUGAAGGCCUUAGGGUUGUAAAGUUCUUUCAGUAGGGAAGAUAAUGACGGUACCUACAGAAGAAGCUCCGGCUAACUUCGUGCCAGCAGCCGCGGUAAUACGAAGGGAGCUAGCGUUGUUCGGAAUUACUGGGCGUAAAGAGCGCGUAGGCGGUUUGUAAAGUUGGGAGUGAAAGCCCAGGGCUUAACCCUGGAAAUGCUCUCAAAACUCACAAACUAGAGAUUGGUAGAGGGUGGUGGAAUUCCUAGUGUAGAGGUGAAAUUCGUAGAUAUUAGGAGGAACACCGGUGGCGAAGGCGGCCACCUGGGCCAACACUGACGCUGAGGCGCGAAAGCGUGGGGAGCAAACAGG
RNAcentral lists this ribosomal RNA (404 nucleotides) under uncultured bacterium. Its description in RNAcentral is "bacterial SSU rRNA". It matches the Rfam family "Bacterial small subunit ribosomal RNA", at positions 355 to 776 of the family's 1533-position model. The record is from RNAcentral.